This is a small nuclear RNA of Homo sapiens (human), 81 nucleotides long. The record is from Ensembl. Lineage: Eukaryota; Metazoa; Chordata; Mammalia; Primates; Hominidae.
AAAACUGGAAUGAUACAAAGAAGAUUAGCAUGGCCCUUGCGCAAGCAUGAUAUACAAAUUCAUGAAGCAUUCCAUGCUAAA